Lactuca sativa (garden lettuce) is the source of this 2199-nucleotide long non-coding RNA. RefSeq lists it as uncharacterized. NCBI's taxonomy places the organism in Eukaryota, Viridiplantae, Streptophyta, Magnoliopsida, Asterales, Asteraceae. The record is from RefSeq and is a predicted model, not a curated record.
CCUAGGUUACUGUACCAUGGUCAUCUCUGUUCUUCUCUUUGAUUUACUCCACCACCUCUUUCUACCUUCCGAUACCUUCUACAUCUAAUUCCUUCCACAACUUCCAUUUUCAUCUCCCAAAUUGAUUCGUCGUUUCCACUUUGUGUUCAGUGAAUGAAGUACCGAUGUUCCAUUUUCCAAGUUGAUUUCUUCUGCUUCAUCUCCAGUCUUUCUUCAUUUCUUUUUUUCUCCAUCUUCUGUGUUCGAUUAUUCUGUUGCCCUAUGACAUUGACAAUAGUUUCUUUUCCAUUUCUUCCUACGACUAUGGGAAGUCAUCUGCUUCACCAACAAAUCGACACCCAAAACAAUCCCGAUAACCCUCUGAAUUUCUCAAUAUGAUUUAAUUUUCGGGUAUUUGUUUUUGAAUCCCAGUUAUUUAUCUUUCUUGAUUCUAUAAACCAUAUAGGUGUGUAAAAUUAUAAACAACACGAUGAUUGCUUGAUUCCAAAAAUUGGGAUUUCUGGCUCAUGACUUCCGACUGUGGGCUUCUCAUCUUUAUCCAUGGAUUUUUGGUUCUCUAACUUGAGUGGGGCGUACUGCAGUCGUUGAUGAUGCCAAAGCCUAAAAAUCCAACAAGAUUUAGAUAUAAUAAUGAGUUGUUUACUGAUAUGGAUGAAGUUCUGGCCGCUACCCACUAGUGAUUGAAAUCAUGAUAGCUUAUGGAAAAUGUCUGUAGUUGAACUCACGAAAUUCAGAAGCGCUGUAUGAACCUUCAUGAAAAGAAAAUGGCAGCCUUACACCUGCUUCCACUCUUUUACUUGGUUAUGAGCUGUUGCAAUGUGGAACCAACCAUAUUGACUAUAUUUUGAAUGCCAUAAAUAUUUUUUUCAACAUACUUUUUUUUACUAUAUUUUGUAUCCACUAAACUACAUUUUGGACUAUAGUUGAUAACUAUCACAUUUUCUGCAGACAUUGGAUACUUGAUUGAAGAUUGAAAAGAACAUUUCAGGUUUCUGGUUGCUGGAUCUUGCUAAUUAACACCAUUCAUGAAGUGGAAGUGGAUAUGAUAAUCAAUAUUGUACGCCUACAAUCCGGACUAUAAUUUGCUUAUAAAAUUAAGGUAUGAUUCCUUUCUAUUUUUACUUUCAUUUAAUUCGAUGUCAUUUGUUUUUUAAGUGAUUUUAGGUCAUAGGCAAUGUUGUUUCAUUUGUUGUGUCUACCAAAGUACUGUUAUUUUCAAAAUAAAUAAAUAAAUAAAUAAAUAAACAACCCAUACCAUAACCUUAUAAAAAUUUGGAAUUAUUAUUGUUUUAUUCCAUAUGAUUCUGUUAUUAAAAAAAAUAAUUGUGUUUUUUUGGUGUUUAUCAACCACAUUGAUCUUGGAAACGCAAACUUCUCUAUUCAGUUGGUUUACAUCUUGGUCAACUUUCAAACCUACAUUACUUGGAAGUCAUUUAUUUUUGGUUACUAUGUUUUCUUUUUGAUGUAUUAUAGGUCAUAAAUUCAGAAAUAGCAACUACCUUUCAUUGAUUUUAUACUUCAUUUGGAAUUAUAAUUUUUGCUUAAUUUUAUACUUCAUUUGUACUCGGUUUCAAUAAUCUUUUUUGAUUUCUUUGAUUCUUUUUCAAUAAUAUGAUGUUUUAUGGUAUGUGGCGAAGUGCUUAUAUGUUCUUACUUCCCAUAAUAGCAACUUACUUCUAUUUUGUUACCAAUAAUAGCAAUAUGUAAAACGAAAUUUGUAAGAAUUUUACAAGUUUCAUGUUAUAUUUCUGUUAACGAUAAAAACAUGAAGUAUGUUGUUAUUUUUAAUUAUGCUUUCAUAUAAUCAUUUACUCAUUAGUAAUAUUAGACAAUGGAUAUAAUGACAUUCAGAUUAAAAUUUAUGUGGUUUGUUUUCGGGCUCCACAAUUGUUUGAUCUGCUACACAAUAUUUGGUAAGCUACCAAAAUGAAAAUAAUAUUUUCUUUUUUAAUUUUUGUUUUUUACUCUUUUAUGUUUUCUUUUGGGCCUAGUUUUGGAGGUAAUAUGUUUGAUUAAAGGGGCAACAACCCAUUAGGAGGGUUUUGAGUUUUUGAUGGCUAAUUUUGGGGAUUGGUGAUACUAGUCCAGGAGUGUGUUUCUGAGUUUAUCAACUUUAAAUUCCUUCCAUUCCACUUCUAUGAAUGGUAAAAUCCCUCAAACUUAGGAAUUGAAUGAAUUUUACAAAUUGAAUUCCGUCCA